RNAcentral lists this ribosomal RNA (315 nucleotides) under Triticum aestivum (bread wheat). RNAcentral describes it as "partial small subunit ribosomal RNA". The record is from RNAcentral. Lineage: Eukaryota; Viridiplantae; Streptophyta; Magnoliopsida; Poales; Poaceae.
AUGCCGAGUCGGCCCAUGCGGACGAGCGCACAGGUCGUAUGCUCUGCGCCUGCUGUGGGGCGCUGUGCCCAGUUUAUAUACUGCCUUCCUCCAAUCGUAUUACCUCCAUGGGGGCAACCAGCCGAGAAAGAGGCCUUAGAGCCCACACAAAAAAGAAAGAGGCUUCAGAGCCCACGAGAAAAAAAGAGAGAAAAGAGGUCUUUAUUAGUUUCCACAAAAGAAAAAGAGCCAGAAACGGAAAAAUGGACCGAGGCCAGAGCCAACCAAAAAAAGAGGAGCCCACGAGAAAAAAAAGAAAAAGAGGCCUUUAUUUAG